AUGCCUGUCCGAGCGUCAUUGGAAACCAUCAAGCUCGGCUUGGUCUUGGGCGCGGUCUGGGGACCCGCCCGCAACCCGUCGGCGGUGCCGUCCGGUCCCGAGCGUAGCAGAGAUACUCGUUCGGUGGCCGCGGCGCGCCCGCCAGGAGCCUACAUCUACAGUUUGACCUCGGAUCAGGUAGGGAUACCCGCUGAACUUAA
RNAcentral lists this unclassified non-coding RNA (200 nucleotides) under soil metagenome. Its description in RNAcentral is "partial contains internal transcribed spacer 2 and large subunit ribosomal RNA". The record is from RNAcentral.